RNAcentral lists this ribosomal RNA (392 nucleotides) under uncultured bacterium. RNAcentral's name for it is "bacterial SSU rRNA". It matches the Rfam family "Bacterial small subunit ribosomal RNA", at positions 30 to 421 of the family's 1533-position model. The record is from RNAcentral.
AUUGAACGCUGGCGGCAUGCCUUACACAUGCAAGUCGAACGGCAGCACGGGAGCUUGCUCCUGGUGGCGAGUGGCGAACGGGUGAGUAAUACAUCGGAACGUACCCUGAAGUGGGGAUAACGUAGCGAAAGUUACGCUAAUACCGCAUAUUCUGUGAGCAGGAAAGAGGGGGAUCGCAAGACCUCUUGCUUUAGGAGCGGCCGAUGUCGGAUUAGCUAGUUGGUGAGGUAAAGGCUCACCAAGGCGACGAUCCGUAGCGGGUCUGAGAGGAUGAUCCGCCACACUGGGACUGAGACACGGCCCAGACUCCUACGGGAGGCAGCAGUGGGGAAUUUUGGACAAUGGGCGCAAGCCUGAUCCAGCCAUGCCGCGUGAGUGAAGAAGGCCUUCGG